Molecule: ribosomal RNA, 482 nt
Filed under: uncultured bacterium
Lineage: Bacteria
Description: partial 16S ribosomal RNA
Rfam family: Bacterial small subunit ribosomal RNA
Source: RNAcentral
GACGAACGCUGGCGGCGUGCUUAACACAUGCAAGUCGAACGCUGAAGCUCAGCUUGCUGGGUGGAUGAGUGGCGAACGGGUGAGUAACACGUGAGUAACCUGCCCUCUUCUUUGGGAUAACGCCCGGAAACGGGUGCUAAUACUGGAUAUUCACUGAUUCUCGCAUGGGGGUUGGUGGAAAGGUUUUUUCUGGUGGGGGAUGGGCUCGCGGCCUAUCAGCUUGUUGGUGGGGUGAUGGCCUACCAAGGCUUUGACGGGUAGCCGGCCUGAGAGGGUGACCGGUCACAUUGGGACUGAGAUACGGCCCAGACUCCUACGGGAGGUAGCAGUGGGGAAUAUUGCACAAUGGGCGAAAGCCUGAUGCAGCGACGCCGCGUGAGGGAUGGAGGCCUUCGGGUUGUAAACCUCUUUCGCUCAUGGUCAAGCCGCAGCUUUGGGUUGUGGUGAGGGUAGUGGGUAAAGAAGCGCCGGCUAACUACGUG